This 445-nucleotide ribosomal RNA is filed under the name uncultured bacterium. Its description in RNAcentral is "partial 16S ribosomal RNA". It matches the Rfam family "Bacterial small subunit ribosomal RNA", at positions 354 to 796 of the family's 1533-position model. The record is from RNAcentral.
GUGAGGAAUAUUGGUCAAUGGGCGGGAGCCUGAACCAGCCAAGUCGCGUGAAGGAAGAAGGAUCUAUGGUUCGUAAACUUCUUUUGCAGGGGAAUAAAGUGCAGGACGUGUCCUGUUUUGUAUGUACCCUGAGAAUAAGGAUCGGCUAACUCCGUGCCAGCAGCCGCGGUAAUACGGAGGAUCCGAGCGUUAUCCGGAUUUAUUGGGUUUAAAGGGUGCGUAGGUGGAUUGAUAAGUCAGCGGUGAAAGUUUGCAGCUUAACUGUAAAAUUGCCGUUGAAACUGUCGGUCUUGAGUGCAAAUGAGGUAGGCGGAAUGUGUGGUGUAGCGGUGAAAUGCAUAGAUAUCACGCAGAACUCCGAUUGCGAAGGCAGCUUACUAAGCUACAACUGACACUGAAGCACGAAAGCGUGGGGAUCAAACAGGAUUAGAAACCCGAGUAGUCC